Molecule: non-coding RNA, 1248 nt
Organism: Leptonychotes weddellii (Weddell seal)
Lineage: Eukaryota; Metazoa; Chordata; Mammalia; Carnivora; Phocidae
Source: RefSeq, a predicted model, not a curated record
CAUGGUGAAGCUGUGAAGGAACCUGAUGGUCUUCUUCAGGCUCUGAGUGACAGUUUUGGGGAAGUGGUAUGUUUUCAAGUGCUUCAGCGCAUGCAUUAAGCCCUUCAGGGUGUCUUGGUCGCCAUUUUUUAUUCUCCACAGGCUGAGCAGCUUCAGAAUCUGCUCACUUGAUUUGCAUGCCUUCAACGUCUUCUCAAUGUCUUCUGUUGUGACUUUCUUCCCUGGCAAGCUUUCCAUCAAGGUCCGGAGCUGCUCAAAGGUUAUCAUACCUUGGAAGAUCUUCUUGAACAUAUCUUGAUCUUUGUUUUGAUGCUUCCAUAACUUCAGGAGCUGGAAAGUUUGCUCUUGUGGGCUGUGUCGCCGUUUUAUCCUCUCUACGCUCUCUGCGUUUACUCUGGUGCCCGGCAAAUUAUCGACCAGGACACUGAGCCAAUUAGGGGUGAACUUUGUAGGAACAGCAAACCUGAAGAAUGCCUCCUCACACAGGGUGACGUCUAAAGUGGGAUCCAAAUGCACACCAGUUCCUACAAUAUCAUAAGCAGAGGUAUUUGACUCCAUAGUAUUCUGUCACUGCACAAAGAAGAAUCUUAUCAUUCUUCAGAUACAUGCUGAAGGCUUGGGUUGCGCCAUGCAUCUGGAUGAGAAGGUCAACGAUACAAGACAUUCUUUCAGGUAACGGAGCUUGUAAAGUUCUUUAACAAACAGAAUCCAAGAAUAAUGGAAGGUAAAGUUUCUGAAACAUUUGGGAGGCUUUCAACAAUGACCUUUUUGAACAGGACUUCCCUCUUUUACCGUUGUUAGAACUUUCUGUAAAAAAAGAUUUACCCAUCUAAGUAAAAGACUUUGCUUUAUUAAUAUCCAUGGAAAUGUAAACGGUAUAACCUGACAGGCAAAAUGGGAGAUAUUAUAAUGAGGAGAGGAGCUCUGCUCUCCCGUUGAGGAUGUCACCAUGCCAGCCGUACGGAAGGACAUCGGAAUGACAGGACACACAGACAGAUGGGAGUAGGUAAAACAUAGACAGGGGACAAUCUGACUUCAAAACGACAGCAGCAAGGAAUGGUUAAUACUUUGUGGAAUAACACUGCAUAGUCCGUCGUUCCCUUUGGACUGGAAACCUCUUAUUUUCCAUGAGGAACUCUGCCCUGUGGGUUUUUAGGGAGGGAGAGGUAAGUAAGUAAGCCCCACUGUGGUAGCGCAAAAUAAAAUGUGUCUCUUUGUCUUCUGGCUGCCUGCUUGCUUCAUUCCCUA